CCUACGGGUGACUGCAGUGGGGAAUAUUGCACAAUGGGGGAAACCCUGAUGCAGCGACGCCGCGUGAGUGAAGAAGUAUCUCGGUACGUAAAGCUCUAUCAGCAGGAAAGAAAAUGACGGUACCUGACUAAGAAGCCCCGGCUAACUACGUGCCAGCAGCCGCGGUAAUACGUAGGGGGCAAGCGUUAUCCGGAUUUACUGGGUGUAAAGGGAGCGUAGACGGCGGGGCAAGUCUGGAGUGAAAGGCCGGGGCCCAACCCCGGGACCGCUCUGGAAACUGCCCGGCUGGAGUGCGGGAGAGGUAAGCUGAAUUCCUAGUGUAGCGGUGAAAUGCGUAGAUAUUAGGAGGAACACCAGCGGCGAAGGCGGCUUACUGGACCGUGACUGACGUUGAGGCUCGAAAGCGUGGGGAGCAAACAGGAUUAGAUACCCUUGUAGUC
Molecule: ribosomal RNA, 440 nt
Filed under: uncultured bacterium
Lineage: Bacteria
Description: partial 16S ribosomal RNA
Rfam family: Bacterial small subunit ribosomal RNA
Source: RNAcentral